Molecule: ribosomal RNA, 392 nt
Filed under: uncultured bacterium
Lineage: Bacteria
Description: partial 16S ribosomal RNA
Rfam family: Bacterial small subunit ribosomal RNA
Source: RNAcentral
ACACGUAGGGGGCGAGCGUUGUUCGGAAUCAUUGGGCGUAAAGGGCGCGCAGGCGGCCGUCCAAGUCCGGUGUUACAUGGUCGGGCUCAACCCGAUCAUGCGCUGGAAACUGGGCGGCUUGAGUCCCGUAGGGGAUGCCGGAAUUCCAGGUGUAGGGGUGAAAUCUGUAGAUAUCUGGAAGAACACCGAUGGCGAAGGCAGGCAUCUGGCCGGAGACUGACGCUGAGGCGCGAAGGCGCGGGGAGCGAACAGGUUUAGAUACCCUGGUAGUCCGCGCAGUAAACGAUGCGCACCAGGUGUCGGGCGGCAGCGCCCGGUACCGGAGCUAACGCGAUGAGUGCGCCGCCUGGGGAGUAUGCCCGCAAGGGUGGAACUCAAAUGAAUUGGCGGGG